AGAUUGAACGCUAGCGGGAUGCUUUACACAUGCAAGUCGAACGGCAGCGCGGACUUCGGUCUGGCGGCGAGUGGCGGACGGGUGAGUAAUAUAUCGGAACGUGCCCAGUAGCGGGGGAUAACUACGCGAAGCGUGGCUAAUACCGCAUACGCCCGUACGGGGGGAAAGGGGGGAUUCUUCGGAACCUCUCACUAUUGGAGCGGCCGAUAUCAGAUUAGCUUAGUUGGUGAGGUAAAGGCUCACCAAGGCGACGAUCUGUAG
Molecule: ribosomal RNA, 261 nt
Filed under: uncultured soil bacterium
Lineage: Bacteria
Description: partial 16S ribosomal RNA
Rfam family: Bacterial small subunit ribosomal RNA
Source: RNAcentral